AAGUGGCCGAAUGAUAGGUGGCAGGCUGUAGUCCUGUAGACAUUGGUUUAAUUCCUUUCAUUUAUC
This 66-nucleotide transfer RNA is filed under the name Anolis urraoi (Urrao anole). RNAcentral describes it as "tRNA-Tyr". Lineage: Eukaryota; Metazoa; Chordata; Lepidosauria; Squamata; Anolidae. The record is from RNAcentral.